GAUGAACGCUGGCGGCGUGCCUAAUACAUGCAAGUCGAGCGAACAGACGAGGAGCUUGCUCCUCUGACGUUAGCGGCGGACGGGUGAGUAACACGUGGAUAACCUACCUAUAAGACUGGGAUAACUUCGGGAAACCGGAGCUAAUACCGGAUAAUAUAUUGAACCGCAUGGUUCAAUAGUGAAAGACGGUUUUGCUGUCACUUAUAGAUGGAUCCGCGCCGCAUUAGCUAGUUGGUAAGGUAACGGCUUACCAAGGCAACGAUGCGUAGCCGACCUGAGAGGGUGCUCGGCCACACUGGAACUGAGACACGGUCCAGACUCCUACGGGAGGCAGCAGUAGGGAAUCUUCCGCAAUGGGCGAAAGCCUGACGGAGCAACGCCGCGUGAGUGAUGAAGGUCUUCGGAUCGUAAAACUCUGUUAUUAGGGAAGAACAAAUGUGUAAGUAACUAUGCACGUCUUGACGGUACCUAAUCAGAAAGCCACGGCUAACUACGUG
RNAcentral lists this ribosomal RNA (497 nucleotides) under uncultured bacterium. RNAcentral describes it as "partial 16S ribosomal RNA". It matches the Rfam family "Bacterial small subunit ribosomal RNA", at positions 28 to 507 of the family's 1533-position model. The record is from RNAcentral.